This 135-nucleotide ribosomal RNA is filed under the name Aponogeton tenuispicatus. Its description in RNAcentral is "partial 5.8S ribosomal RNA". It matches the Rfam family "5.8S ribosomal RNA", at positions 27 to 154 of the family's 154-position model. Rfam says of the family: 5.8S ribosomal RNA (5.8S rRNA) is a component of the large subunit of the eukaryotic ribosome. It is transcribed by RNA polymerase I as part of the 45S precursor that also contains 18S and 28S rRNA. The record is from RNAcentral. Lineage: Eukaryota; Viridiplantae; Streptophyta; Magnoliopsida; Alismatales; Aponogetonaceae.
CCCUCGCAUCGAUGAAGAACAUAGCAAAAUGCGAUACUUGGUGUGAAUUGCACAAUCCCAUGAACCAUCGAGUCUUUGAACGCAAGUUGCGCCCGGAGCCUUCGUGCUGAGGGCACGCCAGCCCGGGCGUCACGC